CCUGCAUCUUCUGUUUCAAAACGCAUUUUGAACCUCAUUCCAAUAGAAAAAGAAUGAUCAAGGCUCUUCAAGAAUUUACGGGAAGGUAUUAUGAACUCUGACGAGCUGGCCCUUGGAUUAUAGUAAAUGUUGAAAACACUUCGCAUAGACAUAGCAUUAACUACAUCUGUGAGAGUGCCGUGAUUCAACUGCUGAGUACAAAGAGCCGGUAAAGUAGCACCACAUUUAACUUGCGCAGCUCUUCGAAUUCCCAGUCUCAAUUCUCCAUCCUCACCCCUGAGAAAGAGCACAGCAUCUCCAGAGACAAGUUUCUUCUUAUUUACAAAUGCACUCCAUCCAGUAGUGAGCAAAUGCCUCCGUGGUNNNNNNNNNACCUCCACUCAAAGCCAUGGAGAUCCUUUGCUACUAGCUCUUGUGAAGGCCUUUGUUGAGU
Molecule: unclassified non-coding RNA, 433 nt
Filed under: Hevea brasiliensis (rubber tree)
Lineage: Eukaryota; Viridiplantae; Streptophyta; Magnoliopsida; Malpighiales; Euphorbiaceae
Source: RNAcentral